AUUCCAGCUCCAGUAGCGAAUAUUAAAGUUGUUGCAGUUAAAAAGCUCGUAGUUGGAUUUCUGGCUUUAUAGAACUGACCCGCCACGUUAGUGUGUGAGUGUCGGCUUCUAAAUGCCAUCCUUCCACAGAACGUUUCUACUCUUGAUUGAGCCGGAUUCGCAAUGUGGAACUUUUACUUUGAAAAAAUUAGAGUGUUCAAAGCAGGCUUACGCUAUGAAUACAUUAGCAUGGAAUAAUAAUCUAGGACUUUGGUUCUAUUUUGUUGGUUUCUAGAACUGGAGUAAUGAUUGAUAGGGAUAGUUGGGGGUGCUAGUAUUCAGCGGCCAGAGGUGAAAUUCUUGGAUUCGCUGAAGACUAACUUAUGCGAAAGCAUUCACCAAGGAUGUCUUCAUUG
This 395-nucleotide ribosomal RNA is filed under the name Marimonadida sp. RNAcentral describes it as "partial small subunit ribosomal RNA". It matches the Rfam family "Eukaryotic small subunit ribosomal RNA", at positions 582 to 975 of the family's 1831-position model. Lineage: Eukaryota; Cercozoa; Imbricatea; Marimonadida. The record is from RNAcentral.